Molecule: long non-coding RNA, 790 nt
Organism: Mesocricetus auratus (golden hamster)
Lineage: Eukaryota; Metazoa; Chordata; Mammalia; Rodentia; Cricetidae
Exons: 4
Source: RefSeq, a predicted model, not a curated record
UCCACAGAAGUUAAUAAAAAGCAUCCCUGUUCCAAGGGUGAAGGUUUCAAUGGACGGAGAAAAAGAAAGAGCAGGAGCUACCUGCCUACCUGUCCCUAAGGAGCACCUUGUGAAGGACUAAGACGACUGUGUCCCGUGCACUGGAUUCCCCUGAUGUCAGGACCAAGUGAGAAGCUGGAGACUUGGAGGCGUUUUGUUGCUGAUGUGAAAGAAAAGGCCUCUCUGCGUAGCCUUAACCUCCUGAGUGCUGGGACUACUCAUGCAGCUGCAGACCAUUUUCAGUUAAUGAUCAUGGGAACCAUGGCAACAGACAACUGACAUACUGGAGGCAAAACCAUCCACUAGGAAAGCCACCAAACUCUCAUGGAAGCUAGAGAGACUCAUGACUAAUCAGGAACUUUACAGCAGAAGUUAUCAGGUUCUAAUGCUCCCUUCCCAGGCACACCCCUCUGGGACACAGAGUAUAUGGGACACUCCCUAUGAUGAAGCCACUAACACCAGAGCUGGUCAGCACCCACAGCCUUGACCAACAGAUGGUGAGGGGAAGGGGGAAGUGCUGCUUAAUGGCUAGAGUUAUCAGCACAUGAUGAAAAGCGUUCCGGGGAUGCGCUUCACAGCAAAUGUGACUGUCAGACAAAACCUGUCUCCCAGAAGUGUCAAGUCUUCUACCUACAGUCUCACAGGGAAAAGUGAGAUUCAGAGUAACUCUGCUUACCUCUGAAUUGGUCUUCCUAUCUUUGUAUGCUUCAAUUUCUCUUAAAACAAAAGGCUUUAAAUAAAAGCGGUUUAA